Triticum aestivum (bread wheat) is the source of this 142-nucleotide non-coding RNA. Lineage: Eukaryota; Viridiplantae; Streptophyta; Magnoliopsida; Poales; Poaceae. The record is from Rfam.
UUAGUACUCCCUCCGUCCGAAAAAACUUACCCCAACCUUGUUCCUCAAAUGGAUGUAUCUAGCACUAACUUGGUGCUAGAUACAUCCAUUGCUAGAUACAUCCAUUUGAGAGACAACUUUUUUCGGACGGAGGGAGUACUAG